This 400-nucleotide ribosomal RNA is filed under the name uncultured bacterium. Its description in RNAcentral is "bacterial SSU rRNA". It matches the Rfam family "Bacterial small subunit ribosomal RNA", at positions 969 to 1392 of the family's 1533-position model. The record is from RNAcentral.
CCUUACCAACCCUUGACAUCCUAGGACCGGCCCAGAGAUGGGUCUUUCACUUCGGUGACCUAGUGACAGGUGCUGCAUGGCUGUCGUCAGCUCGUGUCGUGAGAUGUUCGGUUAAGUCCGGCAACGAGCGCAACCCACAUCCUUAGUUGCCAGCAGUUCGGCUGGGCACUCUAGGGAAACUGCCCGUGAUAAGCGGGAGGAAGGUGUGGAUGACGUCAAGUCCUCAUGGCCCUUACGGGUUGGGCUGCACACGUGCUACAAUGGCAGUGACAAUGGGUUAAUCCCAAAAAACUGUCUCAGUUCGGAUUGUUCUCUGCAACUCGAGAGCAUGAAGUCGGAAUCGCUAGUAAUCGCGUAACAGCAUGACGCGGUGAAUACGUUCCCGGGUCUGUACACACCG